This 787-nucleotide ribosomal RNA is filed under the name marine metagenome. RNAcentral's name for it is "bacterial SSU rRNA". It matches the Rfam family "Bacterial small subunit ribosomal RNA", at positions 532 to 1320 of the family's 1533-position model. The record is from RNAcentral.
GACCUAGCGUAGUUCGGAAUUACUGGGCUUAAAGAGUUCGUAGGUGGUUGAAAAAGUUGGUGGUGAAAUCCCAGAGCUUAACUCUGGAACUGCCAUCAAAACUUUUCAGCUAGAGUUUGAUAGAGGAAAGCAGAAUUUCUAGUGUAGAGGUGAAAUUCGUAGAUAUUAGAAAGAAUACCAAUUGCGAAGGCAGCUUUCUGGAUCAUUACUGACACUGAGGAACGAAAGCAUGGGUAGCGAAGAGGAUUAGAUACCCUCGUAGUCCAUGCCGUAAACGAUGUGUGUUAGACGUUGGAAAUUUAUUUUCAGUGUCGCAGCGAAAGCGAUAAACACACCGCCUGGGGAGUACGACCGCAAGGUUAAAACUCAAAUGAAUUGACGGGGACCCGCACAAGUAGUGGAGCAUGUGGUUUAAUUCGAAGAUACGCGCAGAACCUUACCAACACUUGACAUGUUCGUCGCGACUUUAAGAGAUUAAAGUUUUCGGUUCGGCCGGACGAAACACAGGUGCUGCAUGGCUGUCGUCAGCUCGUGUCGUGAGAUGUUGGGUUAAGUCCCGCAACGAGCGCAACCCUCACUUUUAGUUGCCAUCAUUUAGUUGGGCACUCUGAAAGAACUGCCAGUGAUAAGCUGGAGGAAGGUGGGGAUGACGUCAAGUCCUCAUGGCCCUUACGUGUUGGGCUACACACGUGCUACAAUGGUAUUUACAACAGGAAGCAAGACGGCGACGUUAAGCAAAUCCUCAAAAAAUACCUCAGUUCGGAUUGCACUCUGCAACUCGAGUGCA